RNAcentral lists this unclassified non-coding RNA (926 nucleotides) under Apis dorsata (giant honeybee). RNAcentral describes it as "uncharacterized LOC102671219, transcript variant X2". The record is from RNAcentral. Lineage: Eukaryota; Metazoa; Arthropoda; Insecta; Hymenoptera; Apidae.
AUUAACUCCAGUAUCUGAUUAUGCGAAUGCAGAUAAAUCCCUUAAACAGUCUGCGAAACGAAACAUCGCUUCGAAAAUUACAAAAUUGAAGACCAAGACCUACAACGAAAUUAUUUUAGAAUCUAGCCACUGUACACGUGAACUUGAGAAACAUAAGUAUCCACAUGCAGAUACCAGAAAGUGAGUUAUUAGAUAUAUUAUAAACGAUGGAUCUCGAUGCUACGUACAUAUACUACGUACUUUAACCCUCGAAGUACGAGCCUGGGUAUACACGUUCCAGAUCAUAAAUGCAAAUUCACUUAAUUUUGAAAAAAAAAAAUUAAUACUAAAUUUAAAAUAAUAUUACAUCUAAUUAAACUUAUUUAAUUAGCCACCAAAUUAGCAUCAUUGUCGACUGGAUCAAAAAGUAACUCAGCCAUCGGAUUGCGAGGGUUAAACAAAUUAUUUUCGAAACUUUAUUGUCACAUCGCAUGUGAAACGGAAUUGUACUUUACCUGUAAUAGGUGAAAGCAUCGGCUCUCCUUUAUGAAAUAACCGAACGCACUAAUCAAUUAGCCCAACCACGGCAGCGAAUCGAUGAGAAGCAAUUUCAAGUACGAUCAAAUCUAUCGCAGAUCCCAAAAGCAUCACCACGAAUAAUCGAACUUUCAAAGCCACGAAUUCCGUAUCAAUAUCCCUCUAAACCAGUUGGAUACGUAGCACCCAGUGCUCUUACGGCAGUCGCCACUCAACGUAUAAUUGAACUAUCGAAGCCGAAAAGAAAACGGAGAUUAAAAAUAACAAAAAUUAAUCAUAAUAAAAGAAAAUCAAAAUUGCAUAAAGAAAAGUCACGAAGCUAUGGGAAACGCGGUAAAAAGAAGGAUUACAAAAACAGGGAUUAUAAACAUAAUGGAUUCAAUCGCUAUAAGAAUGAUCGAAAACAAAAA